This is a non-coding RNA of Coccomyxa sp. Obi, 73 nucleotides long. The record is from the annotation of a GenBank genome assembly. Lineage: Eukaryota; Viridiplantae; Chlorophyta; Trebouxiophyceae; Coccomyxaceae.
GGGUGUAUAGCUCAGAUGGAAGAGCAUUGAGCUUUUAACUCAAUGGUCGUAGGUUCAAGCCCUACUACACCCA